RNAcentral lists this ribosomal RNA (460 nucleotides) under uncultured bacterium. Its description in RNAcentral is "partial 16S ribosomal RNA". It matches the Rfam family "Bacterial small subunit ribosomal RNA", at positions 355 to 811 of the family's 1533-position model. The record is from RNAcentral.
UGGGGAAUUUUGGACAAUGGGCGAAAGCCUGAUCCAGCAAUGCCGCGUGUGUGAAGAAGGCCUUCGGGUUGUAAAGCACUUUUGUCCGGAAAGAAAACGUCGUGGUUAAUACCCGUGCGGCUGACGGUACCGGAAGAAUAAGCACCGGCUAACUACGUGCCAGCAGCCGCGGUAAUACGUAGGGUGCAAGCGUUAAUCGGAAUUACUGGGCGUAAAGCGUGCGCAGGCGGUCCGCUAAGACAGAUGUGAAAUCCCCGGGCUUAACCUGGGAACUGCAUUUGUGACUGGCGGGCUAGAGUAUGGCAGAGGGGGGUANAAUUCCACGUGUAGCAGUGAAAUGCGUGAGAUGUGGAGGAAUACCGAUGCGAAGGCAGCCCCUGGGCCAAUACUGAGCUCAUGCACGAAAGCGUGGGGAGCAAACAGGAUUCAGAUACCCUGGUAGUCCACGCCCUAAACGAUG